This 77-nucleotide transfer RNA is filed under the name Acidobacteriota bacterium. RNAcentral describes it as "tRNA-Pro". It matches the Rfam family "tRNA". Rfam says of the family: Transfer RNA (tRNA) molecules are approximately 80 nucleotides in length. Their secondary structure includes four short double-helical elements and three loops (D, anti-codon, and T loops). Lineage: Bacteria; Pseudomonadati; Acidobacteriota. The record is from RNAcentral. RNAcentral also lists the same sequence under 1 other name.
CCGGGAGUAGCGCAGCCUGGUAGCGCAUCUGCUUUGGGAGCAGAGGGUCGCAGGUUCGAAUCCUGUCUCCCGGACCA